AUUGAACGCUGGCGGAAUGCUUUACACAUGCAAGUCGAACGGUAGAGGGGGCAACCCCUCGAGAGUGGCGAACGGGUGAGUAAUAUAUCGGAACGUGCCCAGUCGUGGGGGAUAACGUAGCGAAAGUUACGCUAAUACCGCAUACGAUCUAAGGAUGAAAGCGGGGGAUCGCAAGACCUCGCGCGAUUGGAGCGGCCGAUAUCAGAUUAGGUAGUUGGUGGGGUAAAGGCUCACCAAGCCAACGGUCUGUAGCUGGUCUGAGAGGACGACCAGCCACACUGGAACUGAGACACGGUCCAGACUCCUACGGGAGGCAGCAGUGGGGAAUUUUGGACGAUGGACGCAAGUCUGAUCCAGCCAUUCCGCGUGCAGGAUGAAGGCCCUCGGGUUGUAAACUGCUUUUGUACGGAACGAAAAGGUCUCUCUUAAUACGGGGGGCUCAUGACGGUACCGUAAGAAUAAGCACCGGCUAACUACGUGCCAGCAGCCGCGGUAA
RNAcentral lists this ribosomal RNA (496 nucleotides) under uncultured bacterium. RNAcentral's name for it is "partial 16S ribosomal RNA". It matches the Rfam family "Bacterial small subunit ribosomal RNA", at positions 30 to 523 of the family's 1533-position model. The record is from RNAcentral.